This 253-nucleotide ribosomal RNA is filed under the name uncultured bacterium. Its description in RNAcentral is "partial 16S ribosomal RNA". It matches the Rfam family "Bacterial small subunit ribosomal RNA", at positions 524 to 776 of the family's 1533-position model. The record is from RNAcentral.
UACGUAGGGUGCAAGCGUUGUCCGGAAUUAUUGGGCGUAAAGAGCUCGUAGGCGGUUUGUCGCGUCUGCUGUGAAAACCCGAGGCUCAACCUCGGGCCUGCAGUGGGUACGGGCAGACUAGAGUGCGGUAGGGGGGAGUGGAAUUCCUGGUGUAGCGGUGGAAUGCGCAGAUAUCAGGAGGAACACCAAUGGCGAAGGCAGAUCUCUGGGCCGUAACUGACGCUGAGGAGCGAAAGCAUGGGGAGCGAACAGG